AGUGAACGCUGGCGGUAGGCCUAACACAUGCAAGUCGAACGGCAGCACAGUAAGAGCUUGCUCUUACGGGUGGCGAGUGGCGGACGGGUGAGGAAUACAUCGGAAUCUACUUUUUCGUGGGGGAUAACGUAGGGAAACUUACGCUAAUACCGCAUACGACCUACGGGGGAAAGCAGGGGAUCUUCGGACCUUGCGCGAUUGCAUGAGCCGAUGUCGGAUUAGCUAGUUGGCGGGGUAAAGGCCAACCAAGGCGACGAUCCGUAGCUGGUCUGAGAGGAUGAUCGGCCACACUGGAACUGAGACACGGUCCAGACUCCUACGAGAGGCAGCAGUGGGGAAUAUUGGACAAUGGGCGCAAGCCUGAUCCAGCCAUACCGCGUGGGUGAAGAAGGCCUUCGGGUUGUAAAGCCCUUUUGUUGGGAAAGAAAAGCAGCAGGUUAAUACCCCGCUGUUCUGACGGUACCCAAAGAAUAAGCACCGGCUAACUUCGUG
Molecule: ribosomal RNA, 492 nt
Filed under: uncultured bacterium
Lineage: Bacteria
Description: partial 16S ribosomal RNA
Rfam family: Bacterial small subunit ribosomal RNA
Source: RNAcentral